Molecule: ribosomal RNA, 253 nt
Filed under: uncultured bacterium
Lineage: Bacteria
Description: partial 16S ribosomal RNA
Rfam family: Bacterial small subunit ribosomal RNA
Source: RNAcentral
UACGUAGGUGACAAGCGUUGUCCGGAUUUACUGGGCGUAAAGAGCGCGCAGGCGGUCGAUCAAGUCGGGUGUGAAAGCCCCCGGCUCAACUGGGGAGGGGCAUUCGAUACUGAUCGACUCGAAGGCAGGAGAGGGUAGUGGAAUUCCCGGUGUAGUGGUGAAAUGCGUAGAUAUCGGGAGGAACACCAGUGGCGAAGGCGACUUCCUGGCCUGUUCUUGACGCUGAGGCGCGAAAGCUAGGGGAGCAAACGGG